UACGUAGGCAGCAAGCGUUGUUCGGAGUUACUGGGCGUAAAGGGUGUGUAGGCGGUUGUUUAAGUUUGGUGUGAAAUCUCCCGGCUCAACUGGGAGGGUGCGCCGAAUACUGAAUGACUUCGAGUGCGGGAGAGGAGAGUGGAAUUCCUGGUGUAGCGGUGAAAUGCGUAGAUAUCAGGAGGAACACCGGUGGUGUAGACGGCUCUCUGGACAGUGACUGACGCUGAGACGCGAAAGCGUGGGGAGCAAACAGG
RNAcentral lists this ribosomal RNA (254 nucleotides) under uncultured bacterium. RNAcentral describes it as "partial 16S ribosomal RNA". It matches the Rfam family "Bacterial small subunit ribosomal RNA", at positions 524 to 776 of the family's 1533-position model. The record is from RNAcentral.